CCCGUAGACUCUGGUGAGC
Molecule: non-coding RNA, 19 nt
Filed under: Rattus norvegicus (Norway rat)
Lineage: Eukaryota; Metazoa; Chordata; Mammalia; Rodentia; Muridae
Source: RNAcentral